AGGUAGGCUGCGGGGGAUAGUUCACAGACCACGUUCGUGGUGGGGGAAGCCGGUCGAAUUCCGGCGCUGACCCGCAACCGUAGGCCGCCUCGGGGUGGUGAGCCGGAGCACCUGCUGCGCACGUCCUGACACA
Molecule: non-coding RNA, 133 nt
Filed under: Nocardioides sp.
Lineage: Bacteria; Bacillati; Actinomycetota; Actinomycetes; Propionibacteriales; Nocardioidaceae
Source: RNAcentral